GUAUUACUAUCAUCCACUCGAGGCGCAGAGCGUGCUUUUCAUUCAGGUGGUUUCGCAUUAGGUCUGUCAACUCCAUGCAGUGCUGAAGCUUUUCAUUCAUUACCUGCAACAGAUUUCAAACACAGGGCAAAGCUGGGUUCUCCACAUUGUGUGAGAUCACUACAGAAACAAUCCAUAAAGGGGCUCACUGCAGAAAGCUGUUAACAUUUCUGUGAAAGUGCAGGAUGCAAAGUCUUGUGAUGUAGCGUGCACAAGCAAUGGGAGUUCUAAUACAACUCUCAGUUCAAAGAGUCAUAAAAAUAAAUACAAAUUUAGAUAUGCAUAUGAAGGUAUUAAACAGCUACUGGGUGACAUUUAGUCACAAAACAGUGCAAGCAAAUAACAUGCAGCUUACGGGAAUGCCUCAAAAGUAACUAAAUAAGUAUGUAAGGUUGCUGUACCACUGGAAGAGGUAUCUCAUGCUUAUUCUGGUAGAGCAGUAAGCAUUACAUUGCCCUGCAAUGGACUGACCUGGAUGAUCAUGUCAUCAGUAAGAAGACUGCUUCACAUCACAUUUUUUUUAAAACUUGUUUUCUUGCACACAUUUCAGAAAAAGAAUUAAAGCUCCUCUUCUUACAACUAUUUAAAGCCUAAGUUAGUGGCUCAGGAAGUACACAAUCCAUUUAAGUCUAGGUGGUUGAGGCAGGGCUGUUAACCUAAACUGGGUAGAAGAUGUGAGUGGGUUACGAAUACAGAAAGGGGGAUGGUGUAUAGGAGCCUAUCGGUCUUUGACUCUUAUAAAAGAAAAACAGACAUCCGUGGAACCUGGCUGAGCCAAUGACAGCUGAAUGGAGUAUGGAAAAUUGUUACAACAGUAAGACACCUACCUUAACUCUGCGAUUAAUGUUGAGAAAUUGGCAUGUUUUGUCAUAAAGCUCUUCCAGUUUUUCUCUGUCCCAGUAGAAGUCAGGUGUUAUUAGCAGGUCUGAACUCAGAUUUAUGCGGUGUCUAAAAAGAAUGGUUACUGCAGUAGUUCAAAGUUCCUUCUGGUGCAUAUAGGAGCAAAUAUUUACAUAGUAAUUAAAAUAAAAAUUACAAAGUUUUUCUUGUUAAGUAAAAUAUGAGAAGAAUCUCAUUCAUAAUAAAAACACACAUGUAGUCACUGUUUAGAACUAGUAAUAUCUCCUGAAACUUUUCCAAGAAUACUGUAAUAUGCACACCUUAUGCAUUAAUUGCUUUUGCCUUACGGCAACAUUACCUCCUUAACUUGUCACUUUCCUUGACUUCUCCUAGCUGUACAGAAAUCCUUCACUAUGCUGGUAGCUCAUUGAAGCUGAUCAAAUAUGUGAAUUAAAGUUAUGGGGGAGGUCCUUAACAGCUUGUUUCUAUUUGAGAACUCUUAAGUGUUACUGGCAGUGCUCACUGGGGAUGGGAGCACAGUUCAGAACCAGGCUACUGUCUCAACAUUAUAAAGGCUAGGAGAUAAAGUCUUCUGUCUCUCAACCUACUGAUCACGUAAGUCUUUGAACUUUUGAUCAUUGUAGCUCAUUUACUGAAAGGUCAUCCAAGCACGGGUAUAAAACUUAAUGUUUAAAAUAGGAACUGUGUUUUCAUUUAUCUCUUUCUUCACUGAUUCUGCAAGGUUUCUAUUAAAAAAAAAAAAAAAAAGUCUGUAGUAAUUGCAACUUUUCACUUGAGAGAGAUAAAAUGUAAUCCUGGCAAUGUAGCAUUUGUUUCCAGUGUGUCUGGGGGAAGAACAGAAUUUGCAGAUGAUGUCAAAUCACUGAAAAGCUUUUCUAACUUUCAGCCAUAGUUCACAAUUCUGCCAAUCCCUGUGCUUCCUCCCGGUAUCCUUUUGCAUGCUGUAGUACGUACUGUAACUGCAUUCCUGAACCCAGAGAAGGAAAAGGGUGUGGAAUCAGUCCAUUUACAGAAUGCUGCUUAACACAUGUCUACAGUUGAGGUACUGAGCAGUGAGUCAGUGGGAAACAGUCCUCUGACCACCACAACAGCACACACUGCCAUGAGCCAGAAGGUGUCUGAGGGAAUCCCCCCACUACUACACUGUGUUUAGGCCAGACUGAACUGCUCCGAAGCUUCUAGUGUACUUCUGGUGUCUUUGUAUCAUGCACAACUUGAUUUUUAAUUUUUGUAUGAUGAUACCUUCAGUGUAACAAAAAAUGUUACCUUAAUGCAAAAAGUUCUCCGAUUUUCUGCAUGACAUCUGCGUGAGAUAGUUUUACCUUCCUUCUUGAUUUUAGUAUCUGCAAAGUAACAAGUUUUACCUGCCUGAUCAAAUAGCAUAUACUAGUGGUUAAGAAGUCUGAAGUUGUACAGCCUGAAGUAUAUAUAAGUUAAAAUCUAAACACGUAUCAGAUUUAAUAACACUUAAGUUUGGUUUCCAUAGUGCCUUGCUUAUCUAGCUUGAUAAGAGUACUGUCGUUCAGCUAUUCUCCCAGGUAAGAAUCCUGGAAUGCUUUCUGUGAAUUGUUUGUUCUCUCUCAAUACUACUGCUAUUUUUAAGGCAUGACAGUGUUCUUUUUACCUUACUGCUGUUUAGCUUUUCUACAAAUGUCCUCCUCACUUAAAACAAUGUAUUACUAUUUAUUCUCUUCAUUAAAAAUAAAUGAGGAUUUAUCUUUUGAACCCUGUGAAUCUUAUUUGUGUAUGCAACAUGAUACAGACUUCUUAUUUUAAUUACAUCUCAAGAGAAAGCGUAGCUUAAGUGUAACACUCAUGAACUCUUAAUUAUAUUGAAGUCACAGUGAGGCCAAGCUGCCACACUAUGCUAUGUUUGGUCAGGCUUUUAAAUGCAGUUUUCCCCACGCUGUGCCCCAGCCCUUUACAGGCUGCCAGUUUCGUGUCCCAGCCCUUUAAAGAUGUUCUGAACUUUCUAUCUUGAUGGAUUUACAAUCAAAUGUGUUAAGUAUCCAGUUGCUUUUUGCUAUAUCCUCGGCUGUAUCUAGACUGAUAGAGAUUUUACAAAGCACAGGAGAAAAUGAGGAGAAAGGUACAAACAAGACCUCACCUCAGGAAUUGACUGGAUAGAUUCCACAAAGUUAUCCAAUAACGACUCCCAAAUAGCCAGUUUUACUGCAACACAGAGGUGACAAAGCAGAAUGCUGUGAGAGGCAGGUAUGUAUGCUUUCAAGUAAUCAUCUACAUCUGCCAAAAUACAGCACUGUCUCUAGACAUGCUGACACAAACAUAUCUGUAGUGAGUUACCAAUUACACCGUACAACCAAUGUAUUCGUACAUCUACAGACAAAUUUGGGUUGUGUAACGACACAAUUCUGCCUGCAGAACCACCAUGAGCUCAACUCUCCAGUGGAUUGGUUCAGAUCCUGGAGAAGCUUUGCUUCAGCUUAGGAAGGUGAGUUUGAGUGCUACACUGUGUCUGUGCCUUUGCAAACUCCAUUCCAAGGAGGCAAUGCAGAAGCUUGAAAUGCUUUGCAUUGCUGGAGUCAAACUGACUUCACGUGGUGCCAGUCAAGUUUCCACUGCAUUUCUACAAUGUUGUGCAGAACUUUGGCUCCAUUUGUCCUGUGUUUGAUGAAUCAUGCUCAAGCCAGUGAGAAUUAGCUUGUCUAGUGAUGCCACCACCUGUAUUUGUUGAAGCUAAAUCCAAACUUACACAACCUCCAAUUUUGUUCUUUUGGUGAAUAUAAUGCUAACUUCAACUACAAAAAGAACCCUAUUCUCUGGAAGUUGUUAAUCCCACGUAGUACCAACGCAAGUUCUACUGUGUCUCAGCUUGAUCCUUCAAGAUGAUUUCUACACGGACAUGCUGAAAUCAGGCUGUUUUUCAGUCCUCAGAUUCCCAAGCAAGAAUGAAGUAAUAACAUCUGAUCAGUUCCAAAAAUUACCUCCAUCCACUGAGAGAAAUUAAACAGAUUUAAUUCUCGAACUCUUUUGUGAUCAUAAUCGUACUAGUCAUGAAGCACAAUAAACCCAGUGCUGAGCAUUCUUCAUGUUCAUCUUAUGAGUACGGAGCCCUAAUCCAAGCCAGUGACUUAAACAGCAUUUAAUUUAGCCUUUGAAAACAGACAUUUUAGCCAGCAGUGAUUAUUUGACAGAAGUUAGCUUCUAUUGUGUAUUAAAUUUGACUUUAACUAUAUUGCAUCCCUUAACAACACUGAACAUCGCACUGUCUUCUUUUAUGGUGUACAUGUUUCAUAGUAACAUAACUUGGCACCAAGUAUCUCCUGGGAAUAAAUCCCUUGCUCCAUGAUACAUGGCAACACUUUUUCAUGCUGUGGGUGUAACAACAGCAAAAGUAAAGGCUUUUUUCCUUAAUAGCUCUUUCUUCAGCGGUCAAGAACCAUUUAGUUAUUAUGCUGUAUGUCUUGAUCAAGUAGUGUAUCACUUCCAAAACACGCAUUCUGUUUCUUGAUGUCUUCUGUUUAAAGUUAUGUUCCCCCACAUAGUAUAUGAAUCUUGUAAUUUACUCAAAAAGCAGUAGAGGUUUUCCUUUAAAGUCUUCUUGAGGACAGCCUUAUUGCUGCUAGUUUCUAUUCCCACUUACUACCUUGUUCUAGGUCUGAAGAAGCAGAGAUUAUUUCCUCGGGCAGAAGCAUCACUACUGAGCCUGAAUUCUUCUCAGUGCCUCCUGACAUAAAUACCACCAUGGCACACAGCCAUUGCUAACAAUCCUGGAAAACACGGUCUGAGACUCCAGUCCACACACUUGAUGCUGCUAGACUUUCCAAGCUGAAAAUUGGUUUUACAACUCUCUCUGGUUUAGCUGAUAUCAAGUUUUUUUUUCUGUUAAUGAUGUCAUGAUCAAUUAAGAUCACUGACAGCUUUGUAAUACUGGGCUGCACUCUUGACAAUCCUAGAAUAAUCUCCAGUGUGGGCAAUGGGAUGCUUAGUAGAAUGUCUGUCUUUAGCAAAGUAUUUUCUUAAGGAGUUUUGUUCAUCUUUAAGAUUUACACAUUGCAAAAAGUAAUUCAAAUUUAAGGAAGACAAAGUAAAAAUGAAUCCUCCCACUGAUGUGCAAUCAAUCUUUAUACAGUUUACCAAAACCAGACACUAAGUCUUCUCCAACCUUUCAAAGUUCCACUCACAAUGGUAUUUCACUAAAUCUAUAGAAUGAGUUGAUAGUACACAAUAGCAUUAACUUACCAGAAAGACAAAGGGCAUUUGAAAAGGCAAAUUUCUGCAGGACGACUUCAUCAGUAUCCAGCUCAGAAUUUAACAAGAUUUCUCCCUUAUGAAGCUUUGAUUGCCCUCUGUAAGAACAAGAUUUAAGCAUCUUCAUUGACUAAGCCAAACAGCAAAGGAACAUUUAAAGAACAAUCAGUGCAAGUAAGAUUGGUUAUAUAAAGAUAAUGGUCUAUCUACAUGGCUAUCACCCUCAUUGUUGCAUUUUACUCAUGUUCAGUACAAAAAUAACCAAAACAGAUAACUGAAAAUAAGUUCCUCAGUCUUAAGACUACGUCGGGUAUCACAAAUUCCACAAGUGGAUAGUUCACGCAGUUUUCAAAUGGCCAGAAAACAAACAAACAAAACUAAAAACCAACCAAACAAAAAAACCCCACAGUUGUCCUCUGAAGAAAUUACCUUAAAUAAACUCAAGCUCAUUAGCUCAGCUUAUGGUGUUACUGUCUCCUGAGUACAGUUUUUUGGUGUUGUUGGAACAUUGCAGAUAAAUGACAUCACCAACAACAUUGAUAAGUAUCUCCACAGAGAUCAUUUGCUCUCCGUGAUGAAAAAAGUAGUUAAAAGGACAAGAUAGGUGCCAGAUUUAUCUGUACACAUCACUCAAGCUGUAUCUCUCCUAGGAAGUGAAGUAUGUGCAGAACACAACUUUGUAUUUGAACCUAGAGCUUAUGCAGAGAAAUUCUGUGCCUCCUUUAAAAUCCAAGUUGUCUCAAUAAUGGAUAUUUAUUUUCCCUGUGAGGCACUUAUGUUCUCUUUGGGACACUUGAAGAAUAUGUUCAGUUGUGACAUGGAGCUUCAUAAUUUAUGAAGUCUAACGUAUACCCAAAUCAUAAAGGUCAUUAAUUGAAAGUUUAGCAGUUCAGCAAAAUUUGUGAAUUUGUUUACUGUUCUCUCCCUAUUUUACUCAUUUGAAAAAAAAAAACCAAACCAAUUGAUAAGUGUAUUUUUACUAGUUGCUUUCGCUUGAAUUUGUUUUAGAAGUCUGUAAGGUGUUAGAUAAACACAAGCACUUGAAAAUACUUACUCUCCUAUUCUAUAGUUUAUCUCUUCAUUUUCCCAGUGGACCAAUGCAACUUCGUAUGGCUGAAUUUCAUGCUGUUCCAGCACUCGCAUUAUAUUCUUCAUCUAAGAAAAAGACAAUGCACAUAAGUAUAUAUAUAUAUAUGUAUGUAAUAUAUAUAUUAUGUAUAUAUAUAAAUAUUAUGUAUAUAUAAUGCACAUAAUAUAUUACUACUGUAAUAUAUUAUCACUCUACGAAGAGCUAGCAUGUAAAUACAUCGAUGAAGGCAACUUUCCUGCUUAUUAAUGUUAUUCACAUAAAAAGGAGUAGGUGUGCUAGUAACUUUUUUGUAUCCGAAGAAAGCAGUGAUUACCACAGUCUAUUUUGGAAGCUAUGUGCAAGAAUUUUGUGUCAUUGAACAACUGCAAAGGAUCUGUGAAAAUGUCAUUCAAUGCCUGCAUUUAUAAAACAAAGUAAGGAUUAACCACAGCAGCAGUAAAGACUGACAAUGCCAGAAUUAACUGUCGAUCCAUAAUGCAGCAUGCCAGAUUUCAAGGGUGUAUACACUUGGAUCCUGACAGCUUAGUUGGCAUUGUGGAGUCAUGAUCAAUAUAGUAAUAGCCAUACUGUUAACAAAUGAAGACUCUUUUCCUAAACUACUUCCAGCUCAGAGUAAGAUUUAACGAAGGUUUACAGACCAUAACCGACUGUGUGAAAUUCAUGUGCCUUGUCAUAUGCAUACUUGCAAAGUUCUGCCAUUCAUCUGGAUAACAGGAAAUGAUGUUUCAGUGGCAGCUUUCUUUUAAAGUGAUACAAAAGCUUCCAUUUAUUCCCGGCCCAGCCUAACUUUAUGGAAGGAACUACCUGUCACACAGUACAUUUAAUGAGAAAAGAUCUUUUGGAUUCAUUAAGUGCAAACUCUCGCAAUUAGAGGUGACUGCAUCACAGAAUCACCUUCUAACAAAACUGAUGCACUCCACUUUGAAGCUAGUUUAUUUAUUUAUUUUUUUCCCUCACUACUUUUGGUGGUUGUAUGGGAAUUGCUAAGUCAUGCCCUGAACCAAUGACUGAGCACCUGUUGUAGGGACACAGCCAGCCCUGGGAGCACAGGUGGAACCGGGUUUCACCCCUCCCAAAGCCUCAUUUAAGGGUUGGCUGCCACCAGGGAAGGAUCUCUACCUGGAGAUCCCUUUCUCUGGAGUAUUUGGUGAGCCCUAAUCCUUAGGACAGUUCAGGAACAACUGAUUUGAUGAAUCACCAGGGCAGGUUCUGGGUGUGAAGCUGGAGUUCACCACAGAAGAAACAUUUGUCUGAACUUGCUUACUUGCCUUUUCAAGUAUUGCCCUUACUUAAUCUUUCUUUAUCCUCUCCAGAUAAAAUAUAUACGGUGGAUGUCCAUUUGGUCCCUUAUAAGGAGGGCUACAGUAUGAACCUCUAAAAUAUUUUUAAAGUGGUCAAAAAAGAAUGAUAUUAGGAAGGACACUACAAAGCAAUGCAUCCAUAUUAAUUGCUAAUUUAGAUUUCUAUGUGUUAGUAUUUUUCAGAUGUAAGAUACAACUUCUGACUGGGUAACUUAGCAUCGUUAGAUCUAUCAUACCAACCACCACAAAGUUUGCUGUCACAAUCAAACUUUCAUCACUUCCUGAACACUUUUGACAGAGUAUCUAUUGUAAGGAGUCAAACACACUGUAAAGAAAUGAAAGAAUUGGCAAAAACCACACUCCCAGGGUAAAAUGCCAGCAACAGCAAUGAAUGCAUCACAGCAAUUUGGGAUAAUUCUAUCCCGAAGCACUAAAAGGAGUGUUCUUUUUAAUACAGUGGAACUAUGAAGGAACAUGGAGCCUAUACUACACAAUGCCUUCUUUCUGAGAAAGACAACCAUUACUCAAGCAAUCUUCAUAAAGAUCCACUGGAGUACUGUCACGCUUGGUAUCUUAAGAGAGGCAGCCAGACACUUGAUAACCUCUUAUGAAAUGUCCAUGAACAAUAUCUUUUGCUUUGCAUAAUCUGUUUAUUCACAAAAAAUAAUAAAUCUACUGCUAACAUAUGAAAAUCA
This is a long non-coding RNA of Gallus gallus (chicken), 8198 nucleotides long. RefSeq lists it as uncharacterized. The transcript has 2 exons. Lineage: Eukaryota; Metazoa; Chordata; Aves; Galliformes; Phasianidae. The record is from RefSeq and is a predicted model, not a curated record.